RNAcentral lists this ribosomal RNA (397 nucleotides) under uncultured bacterium. RNAcentral describes it as "bacterial SSU rRNA". It matches the Rfam family "Bacterial small subunit ribosomal RNA", at positions 37 to 424 of the family's 1533-position model. The record is from RNAcentral.
AUUGAACGCGUGGCGGCGUGCCUAACACAUGCAAGUCGAGCGGUAACAGGUGUAGCAAUACAUGCUGACGAGCGGCGGACGGGUGAGCAAUAUUUGGGAAUCUGCCUAUUAGUGGGGGAUAACCCGGGGAAACUCGGGCUAAUACCGCAUACGCUCUACGGAGGAAAGCCGGGGACCGCAAGGCCUGGCGCUAGUAGAUGAGCCCAAAUCGGAUUAGCUAGUUGGUGAGGUAACGGCUCACCAAGGCGACGAUCCGUAGCUGGUUUGAGAGAACGACCAGCCACACCGGAACUGAGACACGGUCCGGACUCCUACGGGAGGCAGCAGUGGGGAAUAUUGGACAAUGGGCGAAAGCCUGAUCCAGCGACGCCGCGUGGGUGAAGAAGGCCUGCGGGUU